AUGUGUGGCCUAGGGCGCCUGUCCAGGUGUGGCCCAGGGCGUGGCCCAGGUGUGGCCCAGGGCGCCUGUUCAGGUAUGGCCCAGGUGUGGUCCAGGGCGCCUGUCCAGGUGUGGCCCAGGGCGUGGCCCACGUGUGGCUCAGGGCACCCGUCCAGGUGGCCGUGGCUGAGCUGGGGGUGGCUGCUGCUUACAUCCUGGGUGCUGCCCAGAGGCGUGGGAUGGUAUCGAGGCGACAGCCGAGCUCAGCGGGCACUGGGCUGUGGGCACCACGCAGCGUGGGCGCCCCUGUCCUGCUGUGGAGCUGCUGCAGGGGUGCAGGGGGCCCACCCUCAGCGGCAGGGGCUCAGCUACAGGCAGGAGCCAGGCUCGCCACGCCCAGGACGGGAACACUGCCACCCACAGUCCCGCCCACCCACACUUGUCACCACCCCCCUCCUCCGGAAUGCAGGCGGGCACGUUGCCCAGGCAACCAGAACCCAGCGCUGCUCCCCGAGCGUCUCCCGCUGGCACCUGGAAGUCGGCCGAGUGGCAGCCUCCGAGCCCCAGCGUUGCUGCGGGACCCCUGCAGCAGAGCCCCCCGGGAUGGGGUCGGAGGGCACCCCGACACCAUAUUGUUCCCAGGACACCCCUGCAAUGUGGGUACCUGCGGUCACCCCAUUUCAGGUGGGGGAACCGAGGCACAGAGCUGCUACGCAGACUGCCCAAAGCUCUCGCCGCCCAGGUGCCAGGGCCAGAGGGAGGAGCCUGUGGACCCCCAGGCCUCAGCACUUCUGGCCUGCGCGAAUCAGUACAAAGAGCUGUGCUGUCCGUGAGCCUCGUCCUCUGUCUGCCCAGGCCCGGGAGGGGUGGGCGAUGCAGGUGUGGCGGUGUCUCCCGGCUCAGCCCCCUGGACGUCUGGGGCUGAGUGCGGCUGUGGGCGCCAUAGCCUGUUUCCCAGCACCCCUCUCUCCAUUGCUAAUUGCAGCAGCACCUCGGGUGGCGCUGACCCAGUGGGUGUCCCGGCAUUGCCAACUGUCCCUGGGGCCAGAUCGUCCCCAGACGAGGAUGAGUGAUGGCACUGUAGGAUGCCAGGUUGUGACCUUGUAUGGGAAGGGGUGGCCUGUGGGGCCACCGGGCCAGGAGGCUGUGCAGGUGUGGGGCACCCCCCGCUCCUCCCACUGGUGCAGAGCUGAGGGACUCCUCUGCAGUGAGUCACCCCUGUUACAGGAGGCAGAACCGCGAGGUUUGCUUUGCAGCCGCUGA
Molecule: long non-coding RNA, 1242 nt
Filed under: Oryctolagus cuniculus (rabbit)
Lineage: Eukaryota; Metazoa; Chordata; Mammalia; Lagomorpha; Leporidae
Description: lncRNA (ENSOCUG00000036315.1)
Source: RNAcentral